GCACCCUUAGCUCAACUGGAUAGUGUAUCUGUCUACGAAUCAGGCCGUUAGAGGUUCGACUCCUCUAGGGUGCA
Molecule: transfer RNA, 74 nt
Filed under: Streptococcus intermedius
Lineage: Bacteria; Bacillati; Bacillota; Bacilli; Lactobacillales; Streptococcaceae
Description: tRNA-Arg
Rfam family: tRNA
About the family: Transfer RNA (tRNA) molecules are approximately 80 nucleotides in length. Their secondary structure includes four short double-helical elements and three loops (D, anti-codon, and T loops).
Source: RNAcentral